GCACAUCACGAUAGUAGUCUGGUAUCACAAUAGUAGCCUGGUAUCACUCAAGUUAAAUGACCUGUGUGUGGGUAUGACUGUUUACAUACCUGUAUGUAUAUGAAGCCUUCAUGAAAUCCAACAUGAAAAUAUAUCUGGUUAUGCAAAAUUAAUUAAUAGUUCACUGUUUCCAUUUUGGGAACAUGUUAUCAAUACCAAACAUACUAUAAAUCCAGAAACUAUCAAAACAGGACAGUGAACAGAAAAGGUGCAUUGAAAGGUUGCUGACAGCAUCAAGUUUAUCAGAUGAACAUAGAUGGAGAGAGUAUAUUGCUUACCUGUUAUGCUUUCUUAAGAAUGAGAACUGUUGCCAAUGAUGAAGAUGGUGAUGCUGACUUUGAGAACUGUGUAGGACUGCUGUUGGCCAGAGGCAGUGCUUUUACUGUUUAAAAACAGCAAAAACAGCAUAGCGGAAAAAGGAUGCACAUGAAGCAAGGCAUUACUUAAAACAGAAGACAGAAGCAUCCCAGUUCUGAUGUCCUCGACAAGUUCUCCUCAUAUCUUGGCAAAUCACAAAUAUUCCUUCAGCUCUAUAUCCCUGCAGAUCUGCUGCCAAACCAGAAGCACUUUGCUUUUAGAAAUACAUCUCUGCAGCUAUUUGACUUACCCUAAAUUUACAAGGUGUGUGCAUAUCUAAGAUCCAUCACUCCUAAU
Pezoporus occidentalis (night parrot) is the source of this 693-nucleotide long non-coding RNA. RefSeq lists it as uncharacterized. NCBI's taxonomy places the organism in Eukaryota, Metazoa, Chordata, Aves, Psittaciformes, Psittacidae. The transcript has 3 exons. The record is from RefSeq and is a predicted model, not a curated record.